RNAcentral lists this ribosomal RNA (462 nucleotides) under Desulfobulbaceae bacterium PR2_F10. RNAcentral describes it as "bacterial SSU rRNA". It matches the Rfam family "Bacterial small subunit ribosomal RNA", at positions 140 to 592 of the family's 1533-position model. The record is from RNAcentral. Lineage: Bacteria; Pseudomonadati; Thermodesulfobacteriota; Desulfobulbia; Desulfobulbales; Desulfobulbaceae.
GGAAUAACACUCCGAAAGGUGUGCUAAUACCGGAUACGCUGAGAAAUCAGGAAAGGUGGCCUCUUCAUGAAAGCUACUGUAUCAGGAGGAGCUUGCGUACCAUUAGCUAGUUGGUGGGGUAAUGGCCUACCAAGGCAACGAUGGUUAGCGGGUCUGAGAGGAUGAUCCGCCACACUGGAACUGGAACACGGACCAGACUCCUACGGGAGGCAGCAGUGAGGAAUAUUGCGCAAUGGGGGCAACCCUGACGCAGCGACGCCGCGUGGAUGAUGAAGGCCUUCGGGUCGUAAAAUCCUGUCAGAUGGAAAGAAAUGUCAUAUGCCUAAUAUGUGUAUGAUUUGACGGUACCAUCAAAGGAAGCACCGGCUAACUCCGUGCCAGCAGCCGCGGUAAUACGGAGGGUGCAAGCGUUGUUCGGAAUUACUGGGCGUAAAGCGCGCGUAGGCGGCUUUUUAAGUCAGA